GGGCCGGUAGUUCAGUGGUAGAAUAUCCGACUUGCACUCGGAAGGUCGGGGGUUCAAAUCCCCCCCGGUCCA
Molecule: transfer RNA, 72 nt
Filed under: Thermoproteota archaeon
Lineage: Archaea; Thermoproteati; Thermoproteota
Also listed under: 1 other name
Description: tRNA-Ala
Rfam family: tRNA
About the family: Transfer RNA (tRNA) molecules are approximately 80 nucleotides in length.
Source: RNAcentral